Molecule: ribosomal RNA, 339 nt
Filed under: Blastocystis sp.
Lineage: Eukaryota; Bigyra; Opalinata; Blastocystidae
Description: SSU rRNA
Rfam family: Eukaryotic small subunit ribosomal RNA
Source: RNAcentral
AGUAGUCAUACGCUCGUCUCAAGAUUAAGCCAUGCAUGUGUAAGUAUAAAUAAUUCUACUUUGAAACUGCGAAUGGCUCAUUAUAUCAGUUAUAGUUUAUUAGAAAUAGUUUUCUACUUGGAUAACCGUAGUAAUUCUAGGGCUAAUACAUGAGUAAAUCCUCGACUUCUGAAGAGGUGUGUUUAUUAGUAUGAAAACCAUAUGCUUUUGCAUGAUAGUGAGUAAUAAUAACCAUUCAUAUCGCCUGCUUUUAAUAGCGAUAGUUCUUUCAAGUUUCUGCCCUAUCAGCUUUCGAUGGUAGUGUAUUGGACUACCAUGGCAGUAACGGGUAACGAAGAA